UACGUAGGUGGCAAGCGUUGUCCGGAAUUAUUGGGCGUAAAGCGCGCGCAGGCGGUCCUUUAAGUCUGAUGUGAAAUCCCACGGCUCAACCGUGGAAGGUCAUUGGAAACUGGGGGACUUGAGUACAGAAGAGGAAAGCGGAAUCCCAAGUGUAGCGGUGAAAUGCGUAGAGAUUUGGAGGAACACCAGUGGCGAAGGCGGCUUUCUGGUCUGUAACUGACGCUGAGGCGCGAAAGCGUGGGGAGCAAACAGG
This 253-nucleotide ribosomal RNA is filed under the name uncultured bacterium. Its description in RNAcentral is "partial 16S ribosomal RNA". It matches the Rfam family "Bacterial small subunit ribosomal RNA", at positions 524 to 776 of the family's 1533-position model. The record is from RNAcentral.